GGAAUCUGCCUGGUAGUGGGGGAUAACGCUCGGAAACGGACGCUAAUACCGCAUACGUCCUACGGGAGAAAGCAGGGGACCUUCGGGCCUUGCGCUAUCAGAUGAGCCUAGGUCGGAUUAGCUAGUUGGUGAGGUAAUGGCUCACCAAGGCGACGAUCCGUAACUGGUCUGAGAGGAUGAUCAGUCACACUGGAACUGAGACACGGUCCAGACUCCUACGGGAGGCAGCAGUGGGGAAUAUUGGACAAUGGGCGAAAGCCUGAUCCAGCCAUGCCGCGUGUGUGAAGAAGGUCUUCGGAUUGUAAAGCACUUUAAGUUGGGAGGAAGGGUUGUAGAUUAAUACUCUGCAAUUUUGACGUUACCGACAGAAUAAGCACCGGCUAACUCUGUGCCAGCAGCCGCGGUAAUACAGAGGGUGCAAGCGUUAAUCGGAAUUACUGGGCGUAAAACGCGCGUAGGUGGUUUGUUAAGUUGGAUGUGAAAUCCCCGGGCUCAACCUGGGAACUGCAUUCAAAACUGACUGACUAGAGUGUGGUAGAGGGUGGUGGAAUUUCCUGUGUAGCGGUGAAAUGCGUAGAUAUAGGAAGGAACACCAGU
This 597-nucleotide ribosomal RNA is filed under the name uncultured Pseudomonas sp. RNAcentral's name for it is "bacterial SSU rRNA". It matches the Rfam family "Bacterial small subunit ribosomal RNA", at positions 121 to 713 of the family's 1533-position model. Lineage: Bacteria; Pseudomonadati; Pseudomonadota; Gammaproteobacteria; Pseudomonadales; Pseudomonadaceae. The record is from RNAcentral.